UAUUUUGACUAUACAAAGGUAUUGUAAUAAGAUUUUAAUUGAAUGCUAAAAGAAUGGAAAUUUAAAAAAAAACUUUUUUAAAAAUAAAAAUUGAAUUUUUUUUAAUUUGUGCAAAAACAAUUAUACUUAUUAAAGACAAGAAGACCCUAAGAAUUUAAGAUUUUACAAUUAAAAAGUUUUUUUUUAAAAUCUUGAUUGGGGCGAUCAAAAAAUAUUAAUAACUUUUUAAAAUUUAAAUUGAUCUAUUAUUAAUAAACUAAUGAAUUAAAUACUCUAGGGAUAACAGCGUAAUAAUUUUUGAUAGAUCUUAUUGACAAAAUAGUUUGCGACCUCGAUGUUGGAUUAGGAUUCUUUUUUAAUGAAGAAGUUAAAAAAAGAAGUUUGUUCAACUUUUAAAUUCCU
Molecule: ribosomal RNA, 402 nt
Filed under: Hyalomma marginatum
Lineage: Eukaryota; Metazoa; Arthropoda; Arachnida; Ixodida; Ixodidae
Description: partial 16S ribosomal RNA
Source: RNAcentral